This is a long non-coding RNA of Eriocheir sinensis (Chinese mitten crab), 424 nucleotides long. RefSeq lists it as uncharacterized. The record is from RefSeq and is a predicted model, not a curated record. Lineage: Eukaryota; Metazoa; Arthropoda; Malacostraca; Decapoda; Varunidae. The transcript has 3 exons.
CCUACUAUUUCUUGUCCCUGACAUAUUUCUGAUGCUGGCAGGUUCCUACUAUUUCUUGCCCCUGACAUAUUUCUGAUGCUGGCAGGUUCCUACUAUUUCUUGCCCCUGACAUAUUUCUGAUGCUGGCAGGUUCCUACUAUUUCUUGCCCCUGACAUAUUUCUGAUGCUGGCAGGUUCCUACUAUUUCUUGCCCCUGACAUAUUUCUGAUGCUGGCAGGUUCCUACUAUUUCUUGCCCCUGACAUAUUUCUGAUGCUGGCAGGUUCCUACUAUUUCUUGCCCCUGACAUAUUUCUGAUGCUGGCAGGUUCCUACUAUUUCUUGCCCCUGACAUAUUUCUGAUGCUGGCAGGUUCCUACUAUUUCUUGCCCCUGACAUAUUUCUGAUGCUGGCAGGUUCCUACUAUUUCUUGCCCCUGACAUAUUU